Long non-coding RNA from Strongylocentrotus purpuratus (purple sea urchin), 553 nucleotides. RefSeq lists it as uncharacterized. NCBI's taxonomy places the organism in Eukaryota, Metazoa, Echinodermata, Echinoidea, Camarodonta, Strongylocentrotidae. The transcript has 4 exons. The record is from RefSeq and is a predicted model, not a curated record.
UUUUCGUACCACGGCGAGGCCGGAUUCCUGUUUUAUCAUGAAUAUUCAUUAGGCAGGGUCGGGGAAAGUCUCGAUUCUCUUAAAUAUUCAUAUCGAGGUGGGAAUGCACGACGCGCGCUAUACUCGCACAAAGUGAGAAGAUUUAGUUCACGGAGAAUGCAUAUGGAUUGAAACUGAAGAGCUGGAAGGAGGACAUUACAACAUCUCUUAUAUUUGCAAGAUGAAGCAGAAAGUCCCAUGCAGGAUGAUGCCUCUCUACAGUGGAUGAUGAAGGCAUUCUGGUUUGCAAACUCAGGAGAGGAACAAAGAACAGAUGUUGACGGGAUCAUAUCUAGAGAUGCGGGCCUACUACACUUCAUACGAGCAAGUGUGCUAAUAUACAUGAAGACUUGGGUUAUAUUUUUUUCUGAAAACUAGGCUACAACUUUAGUGAUGGAUGCAGAAGAUAUCUACACGAGACUACGUCUUAAAGAUGCCACCCUCAUAUAAUGAAAAAGGACAAUAGAGAUGGGUUUAAACUGGAAUAUUUACAUGAUAUUUAUUUGUUAUUUGU